AAAAAAGCAAAUCAUGAGUUUUUGUGUCCAACUUUGACUGUCCGUCUUAUAUGAAAUUUUUUUAUAAUUCGUAUUUUCAUUGUUGUUAGAUGAUAAAACAUGAUUAAUAUUUUAUGCAUGACUUGUCUUUUUAAUUUUUUUUUAUAAUUUUUUCAAAUAAGACGGACGGUCAAAUAUUGGGCACGGAAAUCAGGGUUUGUCUUUUU
Non-coding RNA from Oryza glumipatula, 206 nucleotides. The record is from Rfam. Lineage: Eukaryota; Viridiplantae; Streptophyta; Magnoliopsida; Poales; Poaceae.